GGGACUAGUUGCAAGGGAGCGUGGGGCAGGAGUUUGGGGAUGUGUCUCCAUAGGAGUGGGCAUCUUGCAGUGUCAGGGGUUUAAAUUAAACUGGGGGGCGGGGAGGAGGAGAGACCUUCCCCGCCACCUGCAGCGUUGACUCCGGGCAUCACUUCGGUGCAGGGACCCAGCUGACACUUCUUAUUUCGGUCCCGCCUCUCCCGCAGCAGUCUGCAACUUGCGGGCGUCCAGGCAGGACGGCAGCAGCUGAGCAGAGGAGAGAGUCCCGCUGCAGUCCCAGAAACCUGGUUUAACUGCAGAGGAUAUCACGGUGCAGUCUGCCUCUCCUCUCUACCCUUGCCGGAGCCUGAUUGCCACCCGCCCGACUUCUCCCAGCUCCCCCAACCCCCAAUCUCCUUGCCCACCCACCCUCUGCAAAGGACCCCGGAGGAAGGAGCCUCUGCACUCCCCCCAGGGAGCUGUUGCCUCAGGAGGCCAAGGAGAGCUUCGCCUGCAGUUUUGUGCUUCGGAGAUCUCUGCCCUGGUGGAGUCCCGCAAACUGUGCGUGUGAGUCUGCCAGAGGGGCGCUUCUGA
Molecule: long non-coding RNA, 573 nt
Filed under: Microcebus murinus (gray mouse lemur)
Lineage: Eukaryota; Metazoa; Chordata; Mammalia; Primates; Cheirogaleidae
Description: lncRNA (ENSMICG00000048335.1)
Source: RNAcentral